CCUACGGGGGGCAGCAGUGAGGAAUAUUGGUCAAUGGACGAGAGUCUGAACCAGCCAAGUAGCGUGAAGGAUGACUGCCCUAUGGGUUGUAAACUUCUUUUAUCUGGGAAUAAAAUGUUCCACGUGUGGGAUUUUGUAUGUACCAUGUGAAUAAGGAUCGGCUAACUCCGUGCCAGCAGCCGCGGUAAUACGGAGGAUCCGAGCGUUAUCCGGAUUUAUUGGGUUUAAAGGGAGCGUAGGUGGAUAGUUAAGUCAGUUGUGAAAGUUUGCGGCUCAACCGUAAAAUUGCAGUUGAAACUGGCAGUCUUGAGUACAGUAGAGGUGGGCGGAAUGCGUGGUGUAGCGGUGAAAUGCUUAGAUAUCACGAAGAACUCCGAUUGCGAAGGCAGUUCACUGGACGGCAACUGACACUGAGGCUCGAAAGUGUGGGUAUCAAACAGGAUUAGAUACCCGAGUAGUC
RNAcentral lists this ribosomal RNA (460 nucleotides) under uncultured bacterium. RNAcentral describes it as "partial 16S ribosomal RNA". It matches the Rfam family "Bacterial small subunit ribosomal RNA", at positions 338 to 795 of the family's 1533-position model. The record is from RNAcentral.